GGAGUUAGCCGGUGCUUCUUCUGCGAGUAACGUCACAGCUAGCAGGUAUUAACUACUAACCUUUCCUCCUCGCUAGAAAGUGCUUUACAACCCGAAGGCCUUCUUCACACACGCGGCAUGGCUGCAUCAGGGUUUCCCCCAUUGUGCAAUAUUCCCCACUGCUGCCUCCCGUAGGAGUCUGGGCCGUGUCUCAGUCCCAGUGUGGCUGAUCAUCCUCUCAGACCAGCUAGGGAUCGUUGCCUAGGUGAGCCAUUACCUCACCUACUAGCUAAUCCCACCUGGGCUUAUCCAUCAGUCGCAAGGACCGAAGUUCCCCUGCUUUCCCCCGUAGGGCGUAUGCGGUAUUAGCAGUCGUUUCCAACUGUUACUCCCCACAAUGGGCAAAUUCCCAGGCAUUACUCACCCGUCCGCCGCUCGUCAUCUUCAAAGCAAGCUUUUAGAAUGUUACCGCUCGACUUGCAUGUGUUAGGCCUGCCGCCAGCGUUCAAUCUGAGCCAUGAUCAAACUCUGA
RNAcentral lists this ribosomal RNA (511 nucleotides) under uncultured bacterium. RNAcentral describes it as "partial 16S ribosomal RNA". The record is from RNAcentral.